CGGUACUUAAAUGGUUCAUGUUAGAUAAGCAGGAAUGACUUAUUAAACCUAAAAUAUCUCAAGUCUUUGUAAAUAGGGAAGGGUGGAGGGGGUGAAGGGAGGGCUAGGAAUGGGGAAAAAACAAGAACCAAGAUGCAUUAUGUAAAGGUACAAUUCCCACUGAUGAAUGUAAUUGUGCUGUAUACCUACAAUGUACCAAUAAAGAAUUUAAUUUUUAAAAAAACUCUAAAAUACCUCUCAUUAUCCAUCAGAAGAUCUUGGUGUUCAGAGCAGCAUAGGGGUCAAUGACUGAGAAGAACCAUCAGAAGGGAAGGUUUCUUUAAGGAGAGAAUUAACCUUAGAAACAAAGCUACCAACUUCCCCUCUAGUUUACCACUGUAGUCAGGCCUUGAUUUCAUUAGGAGAAACAUUUGUUGUCAUAAUUAUGGAAUGACAAUGACUACUGCUAAUUUCUGCUCUACAAAAAGGCAACAAUUUCUGAAGAGCAACUACAGAUUUUCUUUUUGAUCACCAUACUCAGAGCUCCACAUUAAUAGAAACCCCAUCUCUCAGCACCCAACACUGCUGUAGUCACUCUCACCCAGGAGUCUUAUUGAAGAGACCUAUUUAUUGCUCUUUUGUCUCCAUAGUCAACCAACUCAUUGUAUGUUACAGAGUAUCUUUGUGGAUUAUAUUAGCUUGGGUUCAGGAAAUGAACAUUUUCUUCAACUUUCUGAUUUUCAUUGCCUGGCAAGUGAAAAGAAGUUAUAUGGUAGUAGGCCACUUUUUUGCCAUUCAAUGUUAGUGCUUCGGAAAAAUGACUUUGCCAUGAUACUAGCUCUGAUAACUGGGAGUAUUAUUCAGUACCUUUUGGAACAUUAAAAUGAUAGUUUAGGGAAGAGAAACAUCUUUGAGCACAAGAAGAAUGAUCCCCACUGCUUCCUCUUAUUUUUUUUCUUCAAGACUGCAUAUUGUAUACAUCUGAUGACUUCCCUUCAUUUAUCUAGGGCUAAUUCCUAAAACUGAUACCAAAAGAUAAGACAGAACACUUUGUAAGGACACAUGGGUGCCGGACUCUUUUGACUCUAAUGACUCUGACUACUUCAUUCUUAUCUUUCUUUUAAAAAGAGAAGUGGAGAAGAACGAUGAUUUUUAAUUACAAGACCAUCUGUUUACUUCUAAGUGAAAAUGUAGGCUUUUGCAUAUUAGAUUGGUGAUCUUUAAGUUCAUAACCGAGGUUUUGUGGGUUCUGAGAAGCAACAACAGGAGAGUGGAUUCCAGAUAGAAAUGUAACUGGAAAUGUUACUACUUAGGAAGGCAGACAUCAAAUUAUUCAAUAGCUGGAGCCAUUCAGAAUUGACCUCUGAAGCUGAAUUGUAAUUCAAGCUUCAAAAAUAGGCUAUUACAAUGCUGGCAAUGGAAGUCUCUUGAAAUCAAGUAAAAGCAGCAACUAGAUUCAGAAAUAUUAA
Molecule: long non-coding RNA, 1448 nt
Organism: Heterocephalus glaber (naked mole-rat)
Lineage: Eukaryota; Metazoa; Chordata; Mammalia; Rodentia; Bathyergidae
Source: Ensembl